This is a long non-coding RNA of Zophobas morio, 196 nucleotides long. RefSeq lists it as uncharacterized. The transcript has 3 exons. NCBI's taxonomy places the organism in Eukaryota, Metazoa, Arthropoda, Insecta, Coleoptera, Tenebrionidae. The record is from RefSeq and is a predicted model, not a curated record.
AACUCUAUAAACCUAUUUCUAUAAGAUUUUAAACCAGUUCUACAAUUCUGUUAUGAAAGGACUUUUUCAGGUGGCCAAAGGGCUAACCAGAAAACUCAAUAUAUUUAAUUGAACCAAAUAAAAAUGCGGGACUUUUUCCUUAAGGACCUCGUUUCCUACAUAUUCCUGCUAUUGCAUAUUGCGUUAUAGGCAGGUC